AGCGAACGCUGGCGGCAGGCUUAACACAUGCAAGUCGAGCGGGCACUUUCGGGUGUCAGCGGCGGACGGGUGCGUAACGCGUGGGAACGUGCCCUCUGGUUCGGAAUAACUCAGGGAAACUUGAGCUAAUACCGGAUACGCCCUUUUGGGGAAAGGCUUGCUGCCGGAUGAUCGGCCCGCGUCUGAUUAGCUAGUUGGUGAGGUAACGGCUCACCAAGGCGACGAUCAGUAGCUGGUCUGAGAGGAUGAGCAGACACACUGGGACUGAGACACGGCCCAGACUCCUACGGGAGGCAGGAGUGGGGAAUAUUGGACAAUGGGCGCAAGCCUGAUCCAGCCAUGCCGCGUGAGUGAUGAAGGCCUUAGGGUUGUAAAGCUCUUUUAUCCGGGACGAUAAUGACGGUACCGGAGGAAUAAGCCCCGGCUAACUUCGUG
Molecule: ribosomal RNA, 435 nt
Filed under: uncultured bacterium
Lineage: Bacteria
Description: partial 16S ribosomal RNA
Rfam family: Bacterial small subunit ribosomal RNA
Source: RNAcentral